GGUGGCUCAGUGGUGGAGUGCAUGCCUUGCAUGCAUAAGGCCCUGGGUUCGAUUCCUCAGCACCA
Molecule: transfer RNA, 65 nt
Filed under: Dipodomys ordii (Ord's kangaroo rat)
Lineage: Eukaryota; Metazoa; Chordata; Mammalia; Rodentia; Heteromyidae
Rfam family: tRNA
About the family: Transfer RNA (tRNA) molecules are approximately 80 nucleotides in length.
Source: Rfam by way of RNAcentral